Molecule: ribosomal RNA, 1667 nt
Filed under: Taphrina deformans JCM 22205
Lineage: Eukaryota; Fungi; Ascomycota; Taphrinomycetes; Taphrinales; Taphrinaceae
Description: 16S ribosomal RNA
Rfam family: Bacterial large subunit ribosomal RNA (bases 566-1667)
Source: RNAcentral
CUGGUGCUUUUACUAAAUAGUAAAACUACUAACUAUAUUUUAUAAUAUUAUUAUAAAAUAAGACAAGUAAAAGAUGGACCUGAUAAAUAUCAAUAUAGAAUUAGAGCAUUAGACCAAUUAUCAAAUAAUUUAUAUCCAUUAUUAGAUCAAUAUCCAUUGCAAACAAAACAGUUAAAGGACUAGACGCUAAAGCAUUUAGAGAAGUUCACAAACUUAUGUUAAACAAUGAACAUUUAAGCUUUCGUCCUUGCAAGACAAGGUCUUAGCGAGGGCCUGAAAAUGGUUUAAUUAAAAUACGUGAGAUAAAAUCUACAAUGAAUAGAUCUAGAACAUCUUUUACCUUUGAAUAAUAUUUCCCCUUUUUUUUUGUUUUAAGCUCAAAAAAGUUCACAUGAUUUACGGUUUUUAUUUAGUUUUUUUUUUUUUGUCUGUUAAGAUAUAGUCCAAGUUUACUUUAAUAAGUAGAUAUGAAUAAUGAGCGAAAUUCCUUGGCCGUUAAAUGCGGUCCAGCAUGAACGAUCCCAUGAUACAACAGCUGUCUCCGCGAUAGACUCAGUGAAAUUGGAAUAGCUGUGCAGAUACAGUUUACCCAUAGUCAGACGGGAAGACCCUAUGCAGCUUUACUGUAACUAGUUAUUGCUUGCGAUCGGAUUAGGUUGUAGAGUAUAAGGUAGUCGAUUAGACAAGGGAGAUUCCCCGUGAAACACCUUUACCUAAUAGGCCGUAAGCUGGUGGAGAUAUCACUCUACCCUUUUCGCUUUUUUAUAUAAUUGAGAAAAAAAAAGUUUUUGUUUAAUUAAACAUUAACUUAUAUAAAUAGAGAUUGCUAAUUUAGCAAACUUGAAUAAGAUAAAGUAGCAAUUAUUAGUUUUUUAACAUAAUUGUGACAGUGACUAGCUGGCAGUUUUUGUGGGGCGCAAUUCUCAAAAAAAGUAUCUGAGUAAGUCCGAUUAAUUAAAAGCACUCCAGAAUUAUUAGUAAUAAUAAUUAAGCUUAAUUUAAAACAUAAAGGUUUGGUUGAACCCAAUGGAAAUGGGCAGAUGAAUUCUCUAAAAUUUAAACAAGUUAUGAAAUUAGUUCAAGAUGUUUAAAUCAAAAAGAAUUUGGUUGACUUUAUAAUAAUUAUAGUCGAUUAAGCAUAAUCUAACAACAAGUGUAAUGGCAUAACCAAGCCUAACUGCGAGACCUACAAGUCGAGCAGACACGUAAGUGGGGCAUAGUGACCAGAUGGUUCAUCAUGGAAUGGCCAUCGUUUAACGAAUAAAGUUACGCUAGGGAUAACAGGCUAAUGGCGCAAGAGAGUCCAUAUUGGCCGCGCAGUUUGGCACCUCGAUGUCGACUCGACCUAUCCUCCCGGUGUAGGUGCUGGGAAGGGUUCGGCUGUUCGCCGAGUAAAAGGUCACGCGAGUUGGGUUAAGUACGUCGUGAGACAGUACGGUCCCUAUCUUCUAUGGGAAAUUAGAGUCGAAAAAGGAUCUGUCCUUUGUACGCAAGGAUUUGGAUGGACUAACCUCUUGUUUACCUGUUGUUUAUUUUAAUAUAAUCUUAUUAUAUUUAGAAUUCUAUUAAAACUAAUUGGAAUUACAUAAAUAGGCACGGCAGGAAAGCUACGUUGGGAAUGGAGAAAGGCUGAAAGCAUCUAAAGCCUGAAAUCAACCUUUAUAUAC